Long non-coding RNA from Tachysurus fulvidraco (yellow catfish), 1666 nucleotides. RefSeq lists it as uncharacterized. The record is from RefSeq and is a predicted model, not a curated record. The transcript has 4 exons. Lineage: Eukaryota; Metazoa; Chordata; Actinopteri; Siluriformes; Bagridae.
UUCAUUGUUUUACUCACUGCCAAAUUUACAGCAGUAGAUGCCCUUAUCCACAAUGACUGCUUCAUACGUAGACUCAAUCGAGAACAUAUCCCCAUGCUUGUACGAACUACAAUUUUGAGAUGCGUUAGCAACUUAAUUUUAGCAAAAAGUGUACAAGUUGUGAGCCAGUAGUGUUUUUUUUUUUCGUGAAGAUGUGAAACUUUAAGUUUCGGGAUCUUUGUCUAAAGCCUGGCAGAGACUCAGCUGUUUGGACAAGCAGAGGAAGUUCAUGUCACCACUUAAACAGAGAGGAAUUUCAUGCAGUAACCAAAGAAAGCGAUCCUUACCCAGAAUUCUACAUGCUGGCAACACUACAAGUGCUAAAUCUAUAAAUAUAUACUGGUGAUUUGACCUACACUAUUGUGAGUGCUGUAGAAAAUUAAUUAACACCUUCUGAGCAGCCUCGAUGUGGGAUUUCAGACCUUCGGUGAGAAGAUGCUGACUCCAAGUGGUCUCUGAGGACAACAACCUCCUAAUCAAGUUGUAACCUCCUAAUGAUGACAGUCAUAAGGUCCACAUCACUUCUGGCAGGGACUUCUGACUUGCAUGAAGGUUCUUCAACCAGACCGGAACCAAGAACAGGAAUCUGAGUCUGGUAGGCACAGGAUGACUAAAACCAAACAGAAGACGGCAGAAAUGAUGACAUUUGGUUCAACAAAUCCUGAUUUGUACUGUGACAUACAGAUGGUAGGGUCAGAAAUUAAUCUCAAAAGCAUGAACCCAUGCGACCCAACCUGCAUUAUCUCAACAGUUCAGGCUGGUCUUUGUGAUGUAAUGAUGUAGUAAACAUUUUCAUGCCAACCGCUAGAGCCUGUAAAACCAAUCAAGCAUUGUUUGGAAACUGCAGCUAUCUGAGUAUUGUCGCUGACCACGUGCAUCCCUCAUAUGGCCCCAAUUUACCCAUCUUAAAAUGGCUACUUCUAGCAUAAUAAUGCAUCAUGUCACGAAGCACAAGUUGUCUCAAACUGGUUCCAGGAACAUGACAAUGAGUUCAGUGUUCUUCAGUGCCCUCUUCAGUCACAAGAUCUGAGUACAAUAGAGCACCUUUAAGAUGUGUUCACAACAUGAACGUGCAGCCGACAAAAAAAUGGACCAGAUGCCUUGAUUUUGCACAAAAAAUAUGAGAGCACGGUGAAAGGAUGAUGGUUCAACCCAGUAUUAAUGUAGUAUAUUCAUGAUCUGGCUUGUACUGUAUCAGCCUUUUGUGCAACAGUGACCUAAACCUGUCUUCUUUUACAUUCAUUACAACGAUUUCAUGAAAUAACAAAAACACACACUUUUUACAUAUCCACAAUUAUAUUCAAUUUAAAUAACCUUUUCGGCACAAUAUACAGAAGUCUAUAAGAAUUUGGAGUAUGAAGGAAGAAGCCAGAAGAGGAAACUGAGACUUUUUCACCUUUUGCAUGGCUUUGGUUUCCUCAUUGGAGGGAGAGUUCCUCACCAGCUGUCAUCCUGUAAAAUAACCUGGAGCCCAGAACACCUCCUGUGUGGCCCACACACAUAUGUAUGCACACAUGCUGACCAAACUGUCUGUGCAGAUUUUGUAAUCCACUGCCUCUGAAAUGUUUACAAAUCUAACAUUUUAUGCACAUUUUAAAUCCAAAGGUUGAGAUUUACUAUAAUAUAC